AUUGAACGCUGGCGGCAGGCCUAACACAUGCAAGUCGAACGGUAACAGAAAGCAGCUUGCUGCUUUGCUGACGAGUGGCGGACGGGUGAGUAAUGUCUGGGAAACUGCCUGAUGGAGGGGGAUAACUACUGGAAACGGUAGCUAAUACCGCAUAACGUCGCAAGACCAAAGAGGGGGACCUUCGGGCCUCUUGCCAUCGGAUGUGCCCAGAUGGGAUUAGCUAGUAGGUGGGGUAAAGGCUCACCUAGGCGACGAUCCCUAGCUGGUCUGAGAGGAUAACCAGCCACACUGGAACUGAGACACGGUCCAGACUCCUACGGGAGGCAGCAGUGGGGAAUAUUGCACAAUGGGCGCAAGCCUGAUGCAGCCAUGCCGCGUAUGAAGAAGGCCUUCGGGUUGUAAAGUACUUUCAGCGGGGAGGAAGGGAGUAAAGUUAAUACCUUUGCUCAUUGACGUUACCCGCAGAAGAAGCACCGGCUAACUCCGUG
This 488-nucleotide ribosomal RNA is filed under the name uncultured bacterium. RNAcentral's name for it is "partial 16S ribosomal RNA". It matches the Rfam family "Bacterial small subunit ribosomal RNA", at positions 30 to 507 of the family's 1533-position model. The record is from RNAcentral.